This 1099-nucleotide ribosomal RNA is filed under the name Daldinia decipiens. Its description in RNAcentral is "eukaryotic LSU rRNA". The stretch from base 514 to 1099 matches the Rfam family "Eukaryotic large subunit ribosomal RNA", at positions 1 to 596 of the family's 3401-position model. Lineage: Eukaryota; Fungi; Ascomycota; Sordariomycetes; Xylariales; Hypoxylaceae. The record is from RNAcentral.
GGAUCAUUACCGAGUUAUCUAAACUCCCAAAACCCUACGUGAACCUUACCGUCGUUGCCUCGGCGGGCCGCGCUUACCCGGUAGCUACCCCGUAGCUACCCGGUAGGUGCGCUUAUAGGCCCGCCGGUGGACCACUAAACUCUGUUUUAAUACUGUAUCUCUGAAUGCUUCAACUUAAUAAGUUAAAACUUUCAACAACGGAUCUCUUGGUUCUGGCAUCGAUGAAGAACGCAGCGAAAUGCGAUAACUAAUGUGAAUUGCAGAAUUCAGUGAAUCAUCGAAUCUUUGAACGCACAUUGCGCCCAUUAGUAUUCUAGUGGGCAUGCCUAUUCGAGCGUCAUUUCAACCCUUAAGCCUAGCUGCUUAGUGUUGGGAAUCUGCCCCGUAGUUACGGGGCAGCUCCCUAAAGCCAUCGGCGGAGUUGGGGCAUACUCUAAGCGUAGUAACAUUCUUCUCGCUUCUGCAGUUGUCCUGGCGGCUUGCCGUUAAACCCCCCUAUAUUUUUCUAGUGGUUGACCUCGGAUUAGGUAGGAAUACCCGCUGAACUUAAGCAUAUCAAUAAGCGGAGGAAAAGAAACCAACAGGGAUUGCCCUAGUAACGGCGAGUGAAGCGGCAACAGCUCAAAUUUGAAAUCUGGCCCUAGCGGUCCGAGUUGUAAUUUGUAGAGGAUGCUUUUGGUUAGGUGCCUUCCGAGUUCCCUGGAACGGGACGCCAGAGAGGGUGAGAGCCCCGUACGGUUGGACGCCGAGCCUCUGUAUAGCUCCUUCGACGAGUCGAGUAGUUUGGGAAUGCUGCUCUAAAUGGGAGGUAAAUUUCUUCUAAAGCUAAAUACCGGCCAGAGACCGAUAGCGCACAAGUAGAGUGAUCGAAAGAUGAAAAGUACUUUGAAAAGAGGGUUAAAUAGCACGUGAAAUUGUUGAAAGGGAAGCGUUUGCGACCAGACUUUUUCUAGGCGGAUCAUCCGGUGUUCUCACCGGUGCACUUCGCCUGGUUUAGGCCAGCAUCGGCUCUCUUAGGGGGAUAAAGGCCAGGGGAACGUAGCUCCUUCGGGAGUGUUAUAGCCCCUAGCGUAAUACCCUUCGGGGGGCCGAGGAACGC